This 478-nucleotide ribosomal RNA is filed under the name uncultured bacterium. RNAcentral's name for it is "partial 16S ribosomal RNA". It matches the Rfam family "Bacterial small subunit ribosomal RNA", at positions 28 to 523 of the family's 1533-position model. The record is from RNAcentral.
GACGAACGCUGGCGGCGUGCUUAACACAUGCAAGUCGAACGGUAAGGCCCUUCGGGGUACACGAGUGGCGAACGGGUGAGUAACACGUGGGUGAUCUGCCCUGCACUUCGGGAUAAGCCUGGGAAACUGGGUCUAAUACCGGAUAGGACCACUGCCUGCAUGGGUGGUGGUGGAAAGCUUUUGCGGUGUGGGAUGGGCCCGCGGCCUAUCAGCUUGUUGGUGGGGAGAUGGCCUACCAAGGCGACGACGGGUAGCCGGCCUGAGAGGGUGAUCGGCCGCACUGGGACUGAGAUACGGCCCAGACUCCUACGGGAGGCAGCAGUGGGGAAUAUUGCACAAUGGGCGCAAGCCUGAUGCAGCGACGCCGCGUGAGGGAUGACGGCCUUCGGGUUGUAAACCUCUUUCAGCACCGACGAAGCGCAAGUGACGGUAGGUGCAGAAGAAGGACCGGCCAACUACGUGCCAGCCGCCGCCGUAA